AGUCUUUUAGAUGGAGCCUCCUUUUCCAGAGGCUUGCUGAAAACAUGCUGGAGCCCACUCUUGUUUGGCACAUCCUCAUCAGGGCUGUAUAACUUCCCAGCUGCUGUUCUGACUCCAAGGUCUGCUCUCGAAGGAGUUAUGUUCUCCAUCUUUCAUUGCCAGAGAAGGUGCAGCUGGAGGAUUUGGAAAGAGAAGAUUUGAUCCCUACACAACCCUUGGGGUUCCCCAGAGUGGCAUAGGAUUCCUGCUGGAAAGUGGGAUGACAAAUUUAAAAGGACAUGGGCGCAGUGCCAGGCAGCAAGUCCCCACAUCACCCCACGGUGCAGAGGCACCACUCUUCUCCUUCCUGCUGCCCUGGUUCCUGGCAUGAAGGCAUCCAGCUCAGACAUCCAACUCGGUCCUCGCCUCUCUGCUGGCUUCUGCCCCGGGCUGGCUAAUGAUUGCUGAUGUGACUCUCUGCCAAGGGAUGUGCCGGUUUUGAUCUGGGAAAAUCCUUGCUGUGUUUUACGAGGCGGACAUACGAGGCCGAGGAACUACCAGCACGUACAAACGCCUGCGAUCUUUCUUCAGACAAAGCCUGCGGGCCGGAUUUUCGCCAUCCCCCUCCCCGAGGGAGCAGGGAUCCGUGCUGCUGUUUGCGGCCCCGGGCAGAGCCCGCAGCCCGGCCCGGCCCCGGGCGAGACGCGCCGGGUCCGCUCCGCUCCGGCUCUGGUUCUGGUUCUGCUGUGUCUCUGCAGCCCCAGCAGAGCAGCCGGAGAGGCUCUGCACCGCUUCACUGCUCUAACGUGGGGAAUGAACUGCACUGACCCAGAGCAGGCUAAAUCUCCUCUCCUGUUUUGCCACC
Poecile atricapillus (Black-capped chickadee) is the source of this 844-nucleotide long non-coding RNA. RefSeq lists it as uncharacterized. The record is from RefSeq and is a predicted model, not a curated record. The transcript has 3 exons. NCBI's taxonomy places the organism in Eukaryota, Metazoa, Chordata, Aves, Passeriformes, Paridae.